Apis mellifera (honey bee) is the source of this 1881-nucleotide long non-coding RNA. RefSeq lists it as uncharacterized. The record is from RefSeq and is a predicted model, not a curated record. The transcript has 2 exons. Lineage: Eukaryota; Metazoa; Arthropoda; Insecta; Hymenoptera; Apidae.
UAUCCGAAGAUAUCCGAAGAUACCCGAAGAUAUCCGAAGUUCAACGAAGUUAUGAGCCGAAAACGGCCGAAGGGUGCCGAAGUUACAAAUUGGCGCCAAAAAGUUCAGUAAUUUUACGAACCGCGAAAGUGUAGCAGUCACGUUACUCAUUAUUAAUUUACAUUAAAUUUAUCAGUUUGUGCAAUAUAUUUAUACAAAUAUCGAUAUAUAAUGUGUGAAAAUAAGUGUUAACGGAAUAAUUUAUUAUUAAAUGUGUAAUAUAAUAAUAUAAUAGAAAUAUUAUAUUGUAUCAGUGAAUCUGCGUCGUAAUAGAGUAUAUCUUUUGUCCUUGAAGAUCCUAUUUUCUUUUUCCAACUUCAAACUAUCGGAGAGGGGAAGUCAAAACAAGGUUCAAAGCAAGUUGAAUUCUAAGAAGCUGAUAUCUAGACCACCAUCCAUUGAAUGCGGAUGGAAACGGGGGCAACGAUUGGAAAAACUCUUGAAAUAUAAUAUUUUUGAAAUUUAAAAGAAGGAAACGUUUCUUAGAAGUUGCAGAUUGCUUGGAAAUUCUAUCUCGUUGUUUGCUUUUGAAUGAUGACGUGGGAAUCUCUUUUGAAUGCGAUUAAAGAAAUUGCAAUAUCCUCGAAGCUUUUAAUAAAAGCUUUCGCGCGAAAUGACUCGUAAAUACGAUUAAAGAAACGUGAAGACAAACUAACCAUUCGAUUUGAAACUUUAAAAACGUGAUACCUUGUGAAAUAUCAUAUUAAGGUAUCGAAUGCAAAUAGAAACAUGAAUAAAGAUAUGAAAAAUAUAAUCAUAUAAUAUUUUUCUAAAAAAUAAAAAUUCAAGAAAGUUAAUUAAUAAAUGAUGCUUUUUCGAUCAAACAGAACUAUUAAACUGUUCAAUUAAAUAAAUUACUUUAUUUAAUUGAAAUUAUAAUUUAAACGAAAAAUGUAUCGUCUCUCUUCUACCAUAGAAAUCUUCAAAAAUUUUUUAAAAAUCUCAUUAUUAAUGAUUUAGAUAUUGAAUAUUAAAUUUUUACGAAACAAGAAAGAAAAAAAAAAGCAAUUUUCCACUAUUUUACCACGCGCAAACAGACAAAAAUACAAUUUUUAAAUAUGUACGAAACGAAAAGAAAGAAAUCCUUUUCACUUGGGAAGAGAGCAAUUUUCGAUCGUUUCAUGCGUGAAAAAAAAGAAAGAAAGAAAAAAAGUACGCAACGCGAAUUUUCAACAAAUAAAAAUAACGAAUAACGCAAUAACGUGACCGUUUAUUCAACACGGUGUGACGCGUGGCUAACCAUAGGGAAAACACGAGGAAAACACUAAACGAAACAUUUCCAGUGCAAAGUUUGCCCGGUGCUAAAUUCCCAGAGAUCGUGGAAUGGCACACUUUCUCUCCCUAGGAACCGGGCCACGGUGCGACCGCGGUAAAAAUUUCUGCGAAGCGCAUCGCGUAACGACGGCCACUUUGUCACGGUCCCCCUAGGGGGGAGGUGGGGUGAACUUGUUGUGCCGUUGAAACGGCGGAAUAGUUGCCAAAAGUGAGAAAGGGUAGAGUUCAAUCUCGCCCGGCAGACCACGAGAGGCAAUGAAAGUCCAUCAAACAAUGCGACAUGCAGAAUCGCUCUUUGACAUUUUGCCCGGCGUAUGAAUGUGUGUAUGCACGUUUGCAACGUGAUAUACGUGCAUUCGCACCACGGAUUAAAAUCGUUUAAAAUGGUCAGAAGUUAAGUUUGGGAUUUUAGUGAGGAUUAUGGAAUAGGUGGAAGUUUCAUUGAAAUAUCAAUGGAAAUGGUGUAACUAUGUUUGAGAGAUUGAGCGUGUCCUUUUUAUUUGGAAAGUAGGGUGAGAUUUUUUAUAAAAGUUUGAGAAAUUUUGAUAAAUUUAUAUUAAUAAUGGC